UUUGAAAAUUGAACUAGAAGC
Molecule: microRNA, 21 nt
Filed under: Brachypodium distachyon (stiff brome)
Lineage: Eukaryota; Viridiplantae; Streptophyta; Magnoliopsida; Poales; Poaceae
Description: bdi-miR5185m-3p
Source: miRBase by way of RNAcentral